RNAcentral lists this unclassified non-coding RNA (533 nucleotides) under Hevea brasiliensis (rubber tree). Lineage: Eukaryota; Viridiplantae; Streptophyta; Magnoliopsida; Malpighiales; Euphorbiaceae. The record is from RNAcentral.
AUUUUACAGAAAUUUCAGGUUAAUUGAUGGGCCUAUAGAAAAAGAUAAUUGCAACAUGUGCAAAGGGUAUAAGCUGGUCCAAAAGGGAAAGUUUGUUGGUUCUCAAGUGGCAUAGUAGGUCACUGGUGGUAGACUAUAGUACAAUGAACAUUACCUUUUAUACUUGUUAUGAUAUUGAUAUCAUUUUUAGGAGGUAAAUAAUGAUAGUUGUUGAGAUUAUGCUAUGCUAAUUUCCUCAUUAAUGAUGGUUAUAUGUUUAAAGCAACCAACUCAUAUGUUGCUUGUACUUGAGAUUUUCAUGGCUGGAGAUGCAUACAAGUGGUUAAUUUUGCUUUGACCAAAGCAACUGUUGUCAAUUUUGGGCUUUAUCGGUUAAGAUCAGUCUAUUAUGGUCUUAAACAAGGUUUUAAAUAUUUCUUCAAGCUUCUUGUAGUGUUCAAGCUGUUUUUUAUGUGCCUGAUGAGUGGCAUCUUGACCAACAUAGAGUUGCUAAAUUGCAUGUGGGAGGAGUGUUUCUCGCUUGUGUUCUUCCC